GUUUUCCAGCACUUUGGGAGGCUGAGGCGUGUGGAUCACCUGAGGUCAGGAGUUCGAGACUAGCCUGGCCAACGCAAGGGCAGUGACUGGAAGCUGGGAGAGAGGGUCAACAGCUGAAUCUCAGCCUGAUGGAGGCCACCAUUUAAUAAGUAAAUACAUGCACGGUAAGCCUCAUAUGACUUUCGUCUCUCUAUUCUUUUAGAAGUUGGUCUAAUCCAACCAUAUAUACAAAUGCAAUUAUUUCUCCUUCAAUAUUUUCAUUCAUUCAAUAUACAUCGGGUAUUAUGAAUAAAGUCCGUGUAGAUACAAGUAGUCUCAGUUCCCCAAAAUGUUUAGAGUGUAUAAUACCAAAAAAUGCUAUUAUAAAGUUUAGUGAGAAAAAAGUUUGUUUUUAUAUAACCAUAUAUGCAAUAUGAUUACAAAUCUGCUAAAUUGUUGAGCAAACAAUAAAUGGUUAAUCAGUGUUGAUGGAUGAGCAAACUAUGAAUUAUUUUCCCUCUUUUAAUUUUCAUCUCCAAAUUUUCUAUAAUGUGGUUGUAUGAAUUUAUUCAUAUAGAGAGAAUUUACAGGUGGCUGAAGUGAAUCUGGGUUCAGAUGUUGGACUUCGCGGUUUAUUCUUUUACAGAGUUUGAGAUAAGCCAGUGAAGUCUGACAAAAUAUAAAGCAGCUCUUUCUGCAUUUGCAAAUAUGUGUGCAGUUUUUUUUUUUAGAUAGUACAUUUGUAUUUUGAUUGAUUGAUUGAGAUGGAGUCUUGCUCUGUCACCCAGGCUGGAGUGCAGUGGCAUGAUCUCGGCUCACUGCAACCUCUGCCUACUGAGUUCAACUGAUUCUCCUGCCCCAGCCUCCCAAGUAACUGGGAUGACAGGCGCCCGCCACCAAGCCCAACUAAUUUUUUGUGCCUUUAGUAGAGACAGGGUUUCACCAUGUUGGCCAGGAGGGACUCAAACUCCUGACCUCAAGUGAUCCACCUGCCUUGGCCUCCCAAAGUGCUGGGAUGACAGGUGCACAGGUGUGAGCAAUCACGCCCGGCCAAGAUAGUGCAUUUUUAAAUGUUUCUCUCCAGACCUGUCAUCAUAAAAGUUGCUUGCUUAGAAGGGGGAUAAAAUAAGAUGCAAACCAGCUCUUCUUUUAUUGGAGAGUUUCAAUUUAAUCAGAAGGUGAAUGUUAGCACAUAUAUAUAUGUGUGUGUAUAUAUGUACAUAUACAUAUAUAUGUAUAUACAUGUGUAUACAUAUAUGUAUAUAUACACAUUUGAUUCCAAUAAUAUAUAUUUUGAGCCAAAUUUUAUAUGUAUGUAUAUGUGUAUAUAUACAUACAUGUAUAUGUAUGUACAUAUAUACAUAUGUGUGUAUAUGUAUGUACAUAUAUGUAUCUGUAUAUAUGUAUAUACAUAUAUAUGUAUCUGUAUAUAUGUAUAUACAUAUGUAUCAGUAUAUGUAUAUAUGUACAUGUAUAUACUAUAUAUGUGUAUAAAUGUAUAUAGUAUAUAUACAUAUAUACGUGUAUACAUAUAUACACGUAUAUAUGUAUAUGUAUAUACAUACAUAUAUAUGUAUAUACACACAAAUAUACAUAUAUACACGUAUAUGUAUACACAUCUAUACAUAUUUACAUAUACAUACAUGUGCGUAUAUACACAUAUGUAUACAUAUAUACAUGUACAUAUGACGUAUAUAUGUGUAUAUACACAUAUAUACACAUAUAUACACACACAUAUAUGUGUAUAUAUAUACACACACAAUGGAAUAUUGUCCAGCCAUAGAAAAUAAAAUCCUGUCAUUUGCAGCAACAUGGAUGGAACUGGAGGACAUAUGCUAAUUUGAAAUAAGCAAGGCACAGAAAGACAAGUAUUAUAUGUUCUCACUCAUAUGUGGGAGAUAAAAAAGUGGAUUUCAUGGAGGUACAGUAGAAUGGUACUUAAAAGAGGCUAAAGGGCCUGGCGCGGUGGCUCAUGCCUGUAAUCCCAGCAUUUUGGGAGGCCGAGGCAGGCGGAUCACCUGAGGUCAGGAGUUCGAGGCCAGCCUGACCAACAUGGUGAAACCCUAUCUCUACUAAAAAAUACAAAAAGUAGCCAGGCAUGGUGGUGGGCACUUGUAAUCCCAGCUACUCGGGAGGCUGAGGCAGGAGAAUCACUUAAACCCAGGAGGUGGAGGUUGCAGUGAGCCGAGAUCAUGCCAUUGCACUCCAGCCUGUGCAACAGAGCCAAACUCUGUCUGUCUCCAAAAAAAAAAAAAAAAAAAAAAAAAGGCUAGGAAGGACAGCAGGAGUGGGGGAUAAAGAAACAAACGUUGGUUUAUGGUACAAGAAUACAGUUAGCUAAAAAGAAUAAGUUCCAGUGUUUGAUAGCACAACAGGGUGACUACAGUUAAUAAUAACUGAUUUUAUAUUUCAAAAUAGCUAGAAGAAAACUUCUGCAUAUUCCCAACACAAAGAAAUGGUAAAUGUUUGUUUGAGAUGACGGAUAUUCUAAUUACCCUGAUUUGAUCAUUACACAUUUUAUGCAUGUAUCAAAGCAUCACACAUACUCUACUCUAGAAAUAUUUAUAAUCAUUAUGUCAACAAAAAAUUAAUAUAAAAAAAGAAAAUAAAAGCUAAUUCCAACUGCUAAGUCAUUGAUAAAUUAAAAAUAGAAAUGAGAUUGGGGUCUUAAGUAAUUUCCUUACAUUAACGGUCAAAAUGAAUGCCACACCUUGUGAGACAGCAUGCAAAACUCAGUUUCAGAGCUGGCAUAUUGAAUUAAUAACAUAUCCUUUUUCUAUCAAAAUGCUCUUAAGUUGUAAAUCAUGCUUUUUUGUUUUUUUUUUUUCAGGCUAUUUAGAUCCUGCAUCAGACAGGUCAUCAGAAAACAUGAAGCUAAAUGCAGUAAAGAAUUACUCUCUUGAACUCUUGAAAAUAUCAAAAACAUGAAGCUAAAUGCAGUAAAGAAUUAGUCUCUUGAACUCUUGAAAAUAUCAUUUUCUUAUAGAAAUGGUUUAAAAAUUUCUUUUUUAUUAUUUCUAAUUUUCCUUCAGAAAAUUGUGAGUUUUAACCUACAACACAUACACUCCAAGGUAAUGCCACUCUAAUGCUGUCUAGUUGAUCUGAAUAACUAACUGGUCAAUUAUCAGAUCCACCAAACUGUCUCUCUGGAGAUUAACUUCUGCCAGCAUAUUGGUUUCUGUUCAUUUUCACAAGAUUGACAGGCUCAUUACAGCAAUAUUAACAUCUUCCUUUGAGCACUCACACUGUGCAAUUGUAAUUUUGCAUAUGUUGAUGAGCAGGCAAUUACAUCAAAGAGUGAACACUGGGCUGAUGUGCAAGGCACUAUUUAAUUAUAAAAACAGUAUAGGAUUGAGCCCUGUCACUGAGUCUUCCAUUCCUUCUAUCUCGCCUGUUUCUAAUUUAUUUCUCUAUUUCUUCAUUUCUUCCUUGACUGUCUUCAUUCUUUGCUUUUUAUUUCUUUCUCCUUAAAUGACAGACCUUUUCUUAGAUGCCAUUUCUCUAUGUCUGCGCUUAAGACAAGAAUUUUUUUCCUCCUAGUUGUUGGUUAAUGUCUGCAAAUGUGAGAGCAUGUUAACAUGACAAACAACAAGGAAUUUGAAA
RNAcentral lists this long non-coding RNA (3582 nucleotides) under Homo sapiens (human). RNAcentral describes it as "HSALNT0301891". The record is from RNAcentral. Lineage: Eukaryota; Metazoa; Chordata; Mammalia; Primates; Hominidae.